Molecule: ribosomal RNA, 56 nt
Filed under: Oreasteridae sp. C10
Lineage: Eukaryota; Metazoa; Echinodermata; Asteroidea; Valvatida; Oreasteridae
Description: partial 12S ribosomal RNA
Source: RNAcentral
CAGAGGAGAAAAGUCGUAACAAAGUAGGCGUAUUGGAAAAUGCGCCUGGAACUAAA